This 70-nucleotide transfer RNA is filed under the name Loxodonta africana (African savanna elephant). It matches the Rfam family "tRNA". From Rfam's summary of the family: Transfer RNA (tRNA) molecules are approximately 80 nucleotides in length. Their secondary structure includes four short double-helical elements and three loops (D, anti-codon, and T loops). Lineage: Eukaryota; Metazoa; Chordata; Mammalia; Proboscidea; Elephantidae. The record is from Rfam by way of RNAcentral.
GCAGUGGUGGUUCAGUGGUAGAAUUGUCACCUUCCAUGUGGGAGACACAGGUUGGAUUUCUGCCAGUGCA